AGAGCAAGGGACCGGAGACACAGACUUCAGGGAGGAGGAGCCAAGUGAGAGGGGCCACAGGCUUGGAAGAGACAGGAUCAGGAUCAAGAGUGAUCACUCAGAACUUGACACCAGGCAGCAUUUCAGGGUCCCAAAGAAGAAAACUGUCAGGUCGGCGCGCCCUUACCGAGACACACGAACAACACCGACUUGGACCCAACCUCUGCCAUCUUCCCGUGCAGACCCCGGCGCCCAGAGA
Molecule: non-coding RNA, 238 nt
Organism: Myodes glareolus (Bank vole)
Lineage: Eukaryota; Metazoa; Chordata; Mammalia; Rodentia; Cricetidae
Source: RefSeq, a predicted model, not a curated record